GAGAGUAGUUCAGUAUCGAGUCGUUCAAAAGAUGACUUGUCUGGUUGGCAGACCGCUACUUUCACCAUCCACAGACCAAAAACUUUGCAUUUUUGAAGUAUGCAAAUACUAAGAGACAAAGGAAAAGUGUCUGUCAGUCGUAGGCGAAAGGUGACUACAUAGUAAUGAGAUGUUCAUUGCCGUUGUGGGUUCCCAAGACCCAAACGAUUCUUGAGAACGUUCUCUAAUCCCGCAAGGAUUCACUGGGGUGGCAACCUCGGAGAGUAACAAGUACAAAGAGAGUAACCGACGACUCAAGGAAUGGUAACCCUAAGUGACCGUCACUGAGAAUUACUACUCAAAAGGUAGUGGAAACGGGAAGAAAAAAUAAUGUCCCCAAAGAUUCUUAAUCAAAGGUGUAUUCUCAACCU
RNAcentral lists this non-coding RNA (410 nucleotides) under unclassified sequences. RNAcentral describes it as "Giant, ornate, lake- and Lactobacillales-derived (GOLLD) RNA". It matches the Rfam family "Giant, ornate, lake- and Lactobacillales-derived (GOLLD) RNA". The record is from Rfam by way of RNAcentral.